AUCUUCUGUAGUUAAUAAGCUUGUUUUUGCUUUAUCUAAGACCAGUGUGUGGGAAUCAUAACUCGGGGAGAAAGCUGCUGCAUAUUCCCUCUCCACAUUGAGGGAGGGGGCGAAUUUUAUGAGCUUACGCUGCACUGUUCCUGGUGCAGCACAAAACAGUAUAAUUUUGGGUUUAUACUCCAGAAGGGGUGUGUUCCUUAGGAACUGGGAGGUGCCCUAGUUGAAACCUUCCCAUGCAGGGGCUGGUUAAAGAACCUGUCUGCAUGUACUGCAGCUGGGUGUGUCCCUACCUGUAUGUAUGCUGGUGAAAGUGCAGGCUGAAGCCUGGAAGACUUGGCUGCUUGUCAAUAGCAGUACUGUACAGUGAAGAAGGGAGCCCAGGCUGGUGGAUUAGGGGGCUCAGUUGUACCCCAGUUCCAGGUGGCACCCUGGGGGGAACCCGUCACAGAUGCACCCUUGAAGCCUGAGUUUAAAGGGCGCGUUGACACUUUUGAAAUCUACUCAGUUUAAAACAUAAGCUAAAUAAAUUAGAUACUGUGUCUGCCCAGACUCCCCUGCCAAUGAUUUUACAAUUACAGCUUGCCUUUUUAAAAAAUAAUUGUUUCUCUGUUUCCUGUUGCUGUGUGAAAGAUCCACACAAACGGGAGAAACUGCUUGCCUAUACAGGAAAAAGCAUGGAACUUAAAAUACACUAAGUGCUGUCAGAUGGGCUAGUCUACAGUAUGGUGCUUAAAUAAGGGCUUGUCUACAUUACCCGCUGGAUUGACAAGCAGCGAUGGACCCAGUGGGAGUCGAUUUAUCGCAUCUAGUCUAGACGCAAUAAAUGGACUGCUGAGCACAUCCGUCGGCUUCGGUACUCCACUGGAGUGAGAAGUGGAGGCGGAGUUGAUGGAGUAGCGUCAGCUGUUGACUUACCACAAUGAAGACACCAGAGGUUAAAGUGAAGGAGCUGCGGAAUGCCUACUGCAAAGCCAGCGAGGCAAACGGCCGCUCGGGUGCUCCCCCCGUGACCUGCCAAUUCUACAAAGAACUGGAUGCAAUUCUUGGAGGUGAGCCCACCUCCACUUGGAGGGCCACCAUGGACACUUCAGAGCCCAGUUCAACAAGGCAGGAGAGUAAAGCAGGAGCGAGGGUGUUGAGGAGGAAGGAGGCAGCCCGGCAUCCCUAAAUGCUUGCAGCCAGGAGCCGUUCUCAAGCCAGGAGGAAGGUAGCCAGUCACAGUGGCUGGUGCGUGGGGAAGGACAAACACCAGAGGAGGUGUCUGAUGCAACCUUGAGAUCUCAGCUGUCCAUGUUAUCACCGGCCGAAAGACUCCAAAGAAUUAGGAAGAGGCCACGUAGAAGCAAAGAGGAUAUGCUGCAUGAAGUAAUGCAGCAGUCACGUAAUGAAAAUCAAAAAGCACAGGAGUGGCG
This is a long non-coding RNA of Gopherus evgoodei (Goodes thornscrub tortoise), 1412 nucleotides long. RefSeq lists it as uncharacterized. NCBI's taxonomy places the organism in Eukaryota, Metazoa, Chordata, Testudines, Testudinidae. The transcript is spliced from 4 exons. The record is from RefSeq and is a predicted model, not a curated record.